This 379-nucleotide unclassified non-coding RNA is filed under the name uncultured Bacteriovoracaceae bacterium. Its description in RNAcentral is "contains 16S-23S intergenic spacer region". Lineage: Bacteria; Pseudomonadati; Bdellovibrionota; Bacteriovoracia; Bacteriovoracales; Bacteriovoracaceae. The record is from RNAcentral.
UCCGGCUUAUCACCGGCAGUCCCCUUAGAGUGCCCAACUUAAUGCUGGCAACUAAGGAUAGAGGUUGCGCUCGUUGCGAGACUUAACCCAACAUUUCACAACACGAGCUGACGACAGCCAUGCAGCGCCUGUCUCUACAUUCCCCGAAGGGCACUCCCUCAUCUCUGAAGGAUUCGUAGGAUUUCAAACCCAGGUAAGGUUUUGCGCGUUGCUUCGAAUUAAACCACAUAAUCCACCGCUUGUGCGGGCCCCCGUCAAUUCCUUUGAGUUUUAGUCUUGCGACCGUACUCCCCAGGCGGAACACUUAACGCGUUUGCUACGUCACGGCAGGGGUUAAUACCUGCCACAACUAGUGUUCAUCGUUUACGGCGUGGACUAC